Molecule: ribosomal RNA, 484 nt
Filed under: uncultured bacterium
Lineage: Bacteria
Description: partial 16S ribosomal RNA
Rfam family: Bacterial small subunit ribosomal RNA
Source: RNAcentral
AUUGAACGCUGGCGGCAGGCCUAACACAUGCAAGUCGAGCGGAUGAAGGGAGCUUGCUCCUGGAUUCAGCGGCGGACGGGUGAGUAAUGCCUAGGAAUCUGCCUGGUAGUGGGGGAUAACGUCCGGAAGCGGGCGCUAAUACCGCAUACGUCCUGAGGGGGAAAGUGGGGGAUCUUCGGACCUCACGCUAUCAGAUGAGCCUAGGUCGGAUUAGCUAGUUGGUGGGGUAAAGGCCUACCAAGGCGACGAUCCGUAACUGGUCUGAGAGGAUGAUCAGUCACACUGGAACUGAGACACGGUCCAGACUCCUACGGGAGGCAGCAGUGGGGAAUAUUGGACAAUGGGCGAAAGCCUGAUCCAGCCAUGCCGCGUGUGUGAAGAAGGUCUUCGGAUUGUAAAGCACUUUAAGUUGGGAGGAAGGGCAGUAAGUUAAUACCUUGCUGUUUUGACGUUACCAACAGAAUAAGCACCGGCUAACUUCGUG